RNAcentral lists this ribosomal RNA (254 nucleotides) under uncultured bacterium. RNAcentral's name for it is "partial 16S ribosomal RNA". It matches the Rfam family "Bacterial small subunit ribosomal RNA", at positions 524 to 776 of the family's 1533-position model. The record is from RNAcentral.
CACGUAGGGGGCGAGCGUUGUCCGGAUUUAUUGGGCGUAAAGAGCUCGUAGGCGGUUUCGUAAGUCGGAUGUGAAAACUCCAGGCUCAACUUGGAGACGCCAUUCGAUACUGCGAUGACUUGAGUCCGGUAGGGGAGUGUGGAAUUCCUGGUGUAGCGGUGAAAUGCGCAGAUAUCAGGAGGAACACCGGCGGCGAAGGCGGCACUCUGGGCCGGUACUGACGCUGAGACGCGAAAGCGUGGGGAGCGAACAGG